AACGAACGCUGGCGGCAUGCCUAGCACAUGCAAGUCGAACGUGAUCCAGGCUUCGGUCUGGUGAAAGUGGCAGACGGGUGAGUAACGCGUGGGAACCUGCCCUGUGGUAGGGAAUAACCGCGGGAAACUGCGGCUAAUACCCUAUGUGUCCUGAGGGACAAAGAUUUAUCGCCAUAGGAGGGGCCCGCGUCGGAUUAGGUAGUUGGUGGGGUAACGGCCUACCAAGCCAUCGAUCCGUAGCUGGUCUGAGAGGAUGAUCAGCCACACUGGGACUGAGAUACGGCCCAGACUCCUACGGGAGGCAGCAGUGGGGAAUAUUGGACAAUGGGGGCAACCCUGAUCCAGCAAUGCCGCGUGGAUGAUGAAGGCCUUCGGGUUGUAAAGUCCUUUCGGCGGGGAAGAUGAUGACGGUACCCGCAGAAGAAGCCCCGGCUAACUUCGUGCCAGCAGCCGCGGUAAUACGAAGGGGGCUAGCGUUGUUCGGAAUUACUGGGCGUAAAGGGCGCGUAGGCUGUGCUGCAAGUCAGGCGUGAAAGGCCCGGGCUCAACCUGGGAACUGCGCAUGAUACUGCGGCGCUUGAAGACGGGAGAGGAUGGCGGAAUUCCCAGUGUAGAGGUGAAAUUCGUAGAUAUUGGGAAGAACACCGGUGGCGAAGGCGGCCAUCUGGCCCGUGAUUGACGCUGAGGCGCGAAAGCGUGGGGAGCAAACAGGAUUAGAUACCCUGGUAGUCCACGCCGUAAACGAUGAGUGCUAGACGUCGGGGAGCUUGCUCUUCGGUGUCGCCGCUAACGCAUUAAGCACUCCGCCUGGGGAGUACGGUCGCAAGAUUA
This 831-nucleotide ribosomal RNA is filed under the name uncultured bacterium. Its description in RNAcentral is "bacterial SSU rRNA". It matches the Rfam family "Bacterial small subunit ribosomal RNA", at positions 28 to 896 of the family's 1533-position model. The record is from RNAcentral.